CAGGAGGGGAAUAUUGCACAAAGAGGGGCAAAACAUUAAACAGCCGUACGCCGCGCUGAGGAAUGAGGGCCUUGGGGUUGUAAACCUCUUUUAGUAGGGAAGAAAGCCGUGAGGUGACGGUACUUGCAGAAGAAGCGCCGGCUAAUUACGUGCCAGCAGCCGCGGUAAUAGGUAGGGCGCAAGCCUUCUCCGGAAUUAUUGGGCGUAAAGAGCUUGUAGGCGGUUUGUCGCGUCUGCUGUGAAAGACCGGGGCUCAACUCCGGUUUUGCAGUGGGUACGGGCAGACUAGAGUGCAGUAGGGGAGACUGGAAUUCCUGGUGUAGCGGUGAAAUGCGCAGAUAUCAGGAGGAACACCGAUGGCGAAGGCAGGUCUCUGGGCUGUAACUGACGCUGAGGAGCGAAAGCAUGGGGAGCGAACAGGAUUAGAUACCCUGGUAGUCCAUGCCGUAAACGUUGGGCACUAGGUGUGGGGGACGUUCCACGUUUUCCGCGCCGUAGCUAACGCAUUAAGUGCCCCGCCUGGGGAGUACGGCCGCAAGGCUAAAACUCAAAGGAAUUGACGGGGGCCCGCACAAGCGGCGGAGCAUGCGGAAUAGUUCGAUGCAACGCGAAGAACCUUACCAAGGCUUGACAUGAACCGGUAAUACCCGAAAACAG
This 657-nucleotide ribosomal RNA is filed under the name Arthrobacter sp. RNAcentral's name for it is "bacterial SSU rRNA". It matches the Rfam family "Bacterial small subunit ribosomal RNA", at positions 349 to 1009 of the family's 1533-position model. The record is from RNAcentral. Lineage: Bacteria; Bacillati; Actinomycetota; Actinomycetes; Micrococcales; Micrococcaceae.